This 160-nucleotide non-coding RNA is filed under the name Ricinus communis (castor bean). RNAcentral's name for it is "Bacterial large subunit ribosomal RNA". It matches the Rfam family "Bacterial large subunit ribosomal RNA", at positions 2656 to 2814 of the family's 2925-position model. Lineage: Eukaryota; Viridiplantae; Streptophyta; Magnoliopsida; Malpighiales; Euphorbiaceae. The record is from Rfam by way of RNAcentral.
AGAGCAUUGAGAGGACCUUUUCCUAAUACAAGAGGACCGGGAAGGAUGCACCUCUGGUGUACCAAUUAUUGUGCCUACGAUAAAUGCUGGGUAGCCAAGUGCAGAGCGGAUAACUGAUGAAAGCAUCUAAGCAGUAAGCCCACCCCAAGAUGAGUUCUCU